CAAGGCACCAUCAGGCUACCUCUCAUUCCUGGAACUCUAGGCUCUGAAAGGCAUGGGGUCCUGCCAAGCAAAGCGCCUCAGUGAAUCCACUUAGGGUACCGACUAGAUGCUUGGAAUGUCACUAAACAUCCUGGAAUGGGAAAGAUGAACCCUUGCAGCGCCAGAUGAACUACCACUUAAAUGAGCCAUGCGUCUUUGGGAAGUUAUGGAGAUGAAAGUCCAUGCAGCGACAAUUCACCAUUAUGAAAACAUCUCUAACAUCCUUAGAGAAUGGCACCUUUGCUGAACCCCACAACCAGAGUUAAUAAUACACCUGAGGUCUCUUUAGACUUGACUGCUAUCCAACUCUGUACUCAGCCUGAUCAUUUAUCCUGCCUCUAAGAGGAACAUAUAGCAGCCAACCUUACUUGCCUUGGAUUUCCAACCUAAUCAACUUUUACAACCUAAGCUAACACAUAGCUGUAUCUUAAGUCCUGCACUGUCCCAUACCCCUGGCCCCCAACACAAUGCAUCUUGGUAUAUAUGUUAUGGUAAUAAAUACUGGAAACAGGAACAAAAGAAGUAAAAAGUGAAUAAAAAGGA
Non-coding RNA from Cricetulus griseus (Chinese hamster), 582 nucleotides. NCBI's taxonomy places the organism in Eukaryota, Metazoa, Chordata, Mammalia, Rodentia, Cricetidae. The record is from RefSeq and is a predicted model, not a curated record.